UUCAAUCUCCAAAAAGUUAGCAGCAAAGAGGAAGAGAGAUAUUAAAAGGCGCAACAGGCUUAAUUAAGAAACUCACCUUCACAGCAAUUAAUUAAGGGAAAGAAAACGAAAGAGAUGUGGAGCAAGAGGCAAAAGAUAGACAAAGAGUUGAGGUUCAGGCGGUCAUAUCAAAGAAAACUCAAUAUUGCCGCUCUCGUUGAAAACCCCCAAAUAGAGAGAAAAAAGUAUUACUAUAUGAUAAAAGCUGAUUAAUGAAGUAAUUACUGUUAAUUAUUACUAGGGAAAAACAAUAAAAGAAAGCAGAAAGAGACGAAGUGUUGGCUUAGGCUCGUCCUGGUGGUAGUGGUGGUGGUGGUGGUGGUGGUGGUCGAUGACGGUCAAUUUCUUCUUCUUCUUCUAGUUUGGUUGAUUUGUCGUUUGUUUGGUAAAUGUACACGCUUUGAUAAAUUACAAUUUAGACUAAAGAAAUAAAAGGAUUUUGUUUGGUAAAUA
This 492-nucleotide long non-coding RNA is filed under the name Jatropha curcas. RNAcentral's name for it is "long non-coding RNA (JCUR_LNC003402)". Lineage: Eukaryota; Viridiplantae; Streptophyta; Magnoliopsida; Malpighiales; Euphorbiaceae. The record is from RNAcentral.